This 444-nucleotide ribosomal RNA is filed under the name uncultured bacterium. RNAcentral describes it as "bacterial SSU rRNA". It matches the Rfam family "Bacterial small subunit ribosomal RNA", at positions 356 to 793 of the family's 1533-position model. The record is from RNAcentral.
GGGGAAUAUUGCACAAUGGGCGCAAGCCUGAUGCAGCCAUGCCGCGUGUAUGAAGAAGGCCUUCGGGUUGUAAAGUACUUUCAGCAGUGAGGAAGGCGGAGUCGUUAAUAGCGGCCUCGUUUGACGUUAGCUGCAGAAGAAGCACCGGCUAACUCCGUGCCAGCAGCCGCGGUAAUACGGAGGGUGCGAGCGUUAAUCGGAAUUACUGGGCGUAAAGCGCAUGCAGGUGGUUUGUUAAGUCAGAUGUGAAAGCCCGGGGCUCAACCUCGGAAUUGCAUUUGAAACUGGCAGACUAGAGUACUGUAGAGGGGGUAGAAUUUCAGGUGUAGCGGUGAAAUGCGUAGAGAUCUGAAGGAAUACCGGUGGCGAAGGCGGCCCCCUGGACAGAUACUGACACUCAGAUGCGAAAGCGUGGGGAGCAAACAGGAUUAGAUACCCUGGUAG